CUCCAUCUCCUGACUUCGUGAUCUGCCCGCCUCGGCCUUCCAGAGUGCUGGGGAUUACAGGUGUGAGCCACUGUGCCUGGCCGACAGAGGAUAUAUUUUUGAGCUCUACCUUUCAGAGUUCUUUUCUCUAGCCCUGGCCUGGGUCCCAAACAGGGAACUUAAUUCACUCUAUCACUGAAGUAUACUCUUGCUUUGAUGCCAUUGGUAUGUUGUCCUAGAGAUUUGCUGUGGCUGCCAGGAGUGUUUCAUAGUUAAGAACUGAUGCAACCUCUCUUUUGUCAGUUGAUGAGUCUAUAAACCAUCUUGUUUCCUUUAGUAUCAUCUCCCUGGAACUGGAAGGUCAGACAGGAAGUUUUCUUAGAUUCUAAGUCUCAGUCUUUGGUAUCUACCUUUGUCUGUCUCCCAUGUCACCUGCUGUUUUUUUUUUCCCACCUGUUUUUCAUUUUAAUGUUUUUAUUGGAUAGGUGUCUAUUAUUGCAGGCUACCUCAACACAUUUUUGCAUGUAGACAGGAUAUAAGUAUGAAUAAUAUGUAAAAGAUAACUUGCUCUAGUUCUUUUGAGCAGAGGAUUUGGUUUCGAUAUGUGGCCCUAAUAAAGCUUUUGUGAAGUCCAAGUACUUUGUGAACUUCAGUUCCCUCACCUGUAAAAUGGAGUUAGUUGUUAGUAAUAUCUGUUCUGCCUAACUCAGGAGAUUGUUUUGAGGAUGAAAUGAAAUCAUGAAUGUAAUGGAAUUUUGUAAAUUUUAAAUGAAAUAUUGUAUUACCUAAGAUUUUUUUUUUUAAACGCUGUAUUAAGAAUGGAAUGAAUCUGGGUUUUCCUUUGAAAUCCCAAAUGUUUAAUGUACAGAGAAGUUUUAAUGUGUCUGUUGGGGAGCUUCAUUAGGAUUGUUUUCUAUCUUUAAUUGGCCAGUAUUGUUUUAUAUUUUAGCAUUUUUGGGGACCAUCAACAUUUGUGUUUCAGUUAUCAUUAAUAUUUUACAAAGUUAUUGAAUGUGCAUGAUUUAGUCUUUAACAAUCUCUUCAAUUAUUUACAUUCCCAUGUAAAAAAUGAAGUAAUGAAGGUCCAUGUAAAUAACAUUCCCAUGCUUAGUGAAGCAUAAUUUCUUGACAUUGCAGUUUCUAAGUGCCCUGUCUUGAGAUUGGGAAAGCUAAAGGACAGUUAAAGGGCAGUCAGAGGUCAAGGUCAGCAAAGCAUCACCUUUGACAUUUGAAAUCCAGCAGCAGGUAUCACAGUGAACCCCAUUCCAGCAUCCAGGAAGUUUCUCUGCCCUGCCUCUCCUCCAGCCACCUCAGAAUCUGUGUCUGCAGUGUUGGUCCUGCUUUCCUGUCUCUCCUCUGCCUUUUCUUUCUCUUCACCAACUUCUACCGAGUGCCUCUGAUGUCCCAGACAGUGGCAGUGGGAGUACAAAGGCUAAUAAACCCGGCCCUGGUCCUCAGAGAAUUUAUAUUUUCUGUGCAGAUAUUAAGUUAUACUGUCAUAUAUGGUGUUGACAAACAUUGAUACAGAUUUCCUGUGAAGUGCAGAAGCACCGUCGUAGAAGCAGAGAAGCAGAGAUGCAGAGGCAGCACUGGUGACUCACACAUGGAGAGCUGGAGUUCUUGGUCUAGUGGGAUAAACUGACCUGGACAUCAUUUCAGUGCAGCGGAGUGAGUGCUGGGAUGGGCUCCCUCGGGGCAUCUGGGGCUGGGUUUGUCUGGUGUUUAGUCUCCUGCCUGGUCCUUAGAGUUUAUCAGUAAGAUGAGCAUUGGGAGGUUUCUAAGUGAAAGGAAAGGCAAUCACUUACCUGAAACCUGAAAUUUGUAGGUGUUCUGGGCCAUUUGUAAUUCACUGAAUCUGUUUUGUCAGAGCAAGUCUAUCAUCUCUUUUGGAUGGAGUGUGGCCAGCCCUGCCUUGCGAUGUAAGGAAAUCGGGAAACGCUUGUCAGUUAGGAAUUAGGUGCAUCCUGUGGUCAAGAAAAUAACUGAUGGUGGUCACCAAGUAGUUUAAAACCAAGCAGGACCUCAUUUUAUCACGUGUUGUGGGCAGUUGACCGGUUGAAGAAUGCAUUGCUAUUAUGUGAGGAACAUUGGCCUUUGAAAAAGCAGAACUAGAUCCACGUUCUUGCCUGGUUUUUCGGAGUGACUGAAGAAUUCAAGGAGGCUGUGUUUUGUGGAAAGAAGACCUGAGGGGUGUAUGGUCUUUCCAGGCUUGGAAUCUGCCAUGCUGGGCUUCUGAAUUGUAUAGCUUGGCCAUAUAGAGAGAAGCCCGUCAUUUAAGAUUUAUUCUUUGGGAGAAAUAAAGGAAGGCCGCCCACAUGAGACAGGCAGAGGCGACUUUCUCAGAGCUGCUGUGGCAAGGGAGUCGGCACCGUCACUUGCGUGUGGCAGAGACUGACAUGUAAGUGAGUGGCGGAUGAGGAGUGGGGAAGCUUCAGGAUGGAAAAGAACGGCUCCCAGUGGAGGCUGUUGUGGGGGCUGGAGGCGGCUGUGCAGAAGUGGGGUGUCCUAUGUGAUUGGUUAGGGGUGCAUUUGGCUUUCUCUGAAUGAUCCUAACUGAAAAUAGGGGCCAAAAUUAGGGUGGCUGUCAGUUUUGAGUCAAGUCCUGGCCACGUGGGACAGAGUUGUGGUUUAGUUUCUGGGUUGUGGAGAGAGAGCAGUCUGGCUUCCUGUCUGAUGUACUAGCCUGGCUGGCCUCCUGGCUGUUUCCUGUAGAUAGGGGUUUGGUUUCCUGGGUGGGCAGCUACAGGUUGUGGUCUGAGUUCUGUCUUUAUACAUAUGAUCAGGCAUGGUCUGUGUGUAUAUUCAGUCCCUCAUUUUUCUUGUCAGUAAAAAUAUCAAAUGACAAAUUGGACACAUUGGGAACUUUUUAGAUGUCUGUGUCCCCUGGAGGAAGCUUUCACGUUCACAUUUAAUCACAAUGAAUAUAAACAAUUGGGCCAUUUAUCUUGAAGAUUUAAAAUAGGAAAUCUUCAACAAUACUACCUCAGCGCCAUUGCCUCUCUGUCCAUCGUUAGGGAAUGUGUUUUAGCUCCCACUGCCCUGGUGUGAGGAAACAAGAGAAAGGUGGCUGUCUGCAAGCCAGGAAGAGGUCCCUGUCCCAGAACUGAGUUGGCCGACACCUUGAUCUUGGACUUCCAGUCUCCAGAGCUGUGAGAAAUAAGCUAACGUUUAAACCACACAGCCUAUGGUGUUUAUUAUGGCAUUUGCCUAUGGUAUUAUGGCCAUCUGAUUUGACUGAUACAGAGAUGGUUCCAGAAUACUGUAGCCUGUGUUUAAGUUGGUGAUGCUAUGAAAAUAAAUGUGGUAGUUCAUUCCUUUAUAUGAAGAUAGCGCUGUGAACCCAGGGCCUUUGCUCACGUCUUAGUUGAC
Long non-coding RNA from Rhinopithecus roxellana (golden snub-nosed monkey), 3348 nucleotides. RefSeq lists it as uncharacterized. The transcript has 4 exons. The record is from RefSeq and is a predicted model, not a curated record. Lineage: Eukaryota; Metazoa; Chordata; Mammalia; Primates; Cercopithecidae.